Molecule: unclassified non-coding RNA, 430 nt
Filed under: Streptomyces sp.
Lineage: Bacteria; Bacillati; Actinomycetota; Actinomycetes; Kitasatosporales; Streptomycetaceae
Description: partial 16S-23S ribosomal RNA intergenic spacer
Source: RNAcentral
GCACUUCUUACCAAGUUCGCUUGGUCAGAGGCCACUACACCGGCGAAUGUUCGGUGCUGGUUGCUCAUGGGUGGAACGUUGACUAUUCGGCACGGCAGGUUGAUUACGGCUAGUACUGCUCUUCGGGGCGUGAAACGUGGUGAUGGAUCGUUUGGGGCGGGCGCGUUGGUGGGUAUCUGAGGGAACGGGCUCGUUUGAGUCUUUCCUUCGGCUGCCGCCCCCAGGAAACCCCCCUGAAAGGGGGGGGGGAGGGGGGGUUGGUCUUUUUUUAAAAACUCACCGGGGACCCCAACCUUUGGGGGCCAAUUUUUUAAGGCCCCCCGGGGAAUCCCUUGCCCCCAGAAACCAAUAAAGGAGUGGGGCCCACAAUAAGGUACCUGGGUCCCCCGGGACGAAGCUCUUCAUUCCUUUAGGUAACCCUCCCUCGAGC